GUUCAAUGGAUAGAACGGGCGCCUCCUAAGCGCCAGAUACAGGUUCGAUUCCUGUCGGAGGGACCA
RNAcentral lists this transfer RNA (66 nucleotides) under Betaproteobacteria bacterium. RNAcentral describes it as "tRNA-Arg". It matches the Rfam family "tRNA", at positions 10 to 71 of the family's 71-position model. Rfam says of the family: Transfer RNA (tRNA) molecules are approximately 80 nucleotides in length. Their secondary structure includes four short double-helical elements and three loops (D, anti-codon, and T loops). The record is from RNAcentral. Lineage: Bacteria; Pseudomonadati; Pseudomonadota; Betaproteobacteria. RNAcentral also lists the same sequence under 1 other name.